Molecule: long non-coding RNA, 1252 nt
Filed under: Triticum aestivum (bread wheat)
Lineage: Eukaryota; Viridiplantae; Streptophyta; Magnoliopsida; Poales; Poaceae
Description: long non-coding RNA (TAES_LNC002686)
Source: RNAcentral
CAUAAUCUCUUAUUAUUUAUCACAAUGAGCAUACAUAUAGUUGAUGAGGUUUUUCUACUGUUACUAAAUGGCUGUAACAUUUGUAGCCUCACUCGACCUUACCCUGUAUGGAUCUCACUGCGAAAGGGUAGAUCUUGUUAGCAACACCAACAUAGCAAGGAAAAAUAAACGACCAAUACAAAAAAUGCCAGUCGAUGCCAUCUUAGCGGCAUCUCCACUAUCGAUUAACUCCCCAAAUGCAGUCCAGGUACAAUCGCACGACACAACCAAAGGGGCAAUUCUUAAUCUCUAAUGUCUGGAGGUACUCUUCACUGGUUUUAAUUGUCUUUCUACUCAUUUUAGUAAAGAUUGUUCCACAGGAAAUAUCGCAGACCGCGACACCUGACCAUAACAUGCCAGAUACGGUUCAUGAUGAUGGGGAACAUACAGGACCUCAUCAACAGAAAGAAGGUGCAUUCUAAACGCGCGGAGAAGAGCAACUUGUAAGGAGCAAAAAGAAAAGGAAAGUACAUCACUCCCAGCCUGACGGACAAACGUAUUUAUGAACAUGAUGCAUUGAUGGGACGGUUAAAAAUCACAGAAGGUAAAUGUGUCCCCAAUUUUGUCUGAUUACAUACUUGAUAAAUCGCUUCUUCUUAAAGUUGUUACUGCUGCUGCUGAUGGAUCCACUUAAUGAAUUAAACUAACCAUUUGUUUUGGAUUGUACAUGAGCUACAAUUGUGGUACAUCUACUAAUAUAUUUUCUGGUAGUUUUGUUUGUAUGUGAACGUUUUAUACAUGCCAUAUACUAUGAAAGAAUAGUAUGUACAUGCUGUAUAUUUGUUUGUGUCACAGACUUUCAUGUCUUAGUCUGAUCCUAUCAUUCUCCCUAUAUCUCGUUCAAAGACAUCCAUAUGAACCUAUAUGUCGUGGAAGUGCAUAUGUACUUCUCAAUUGUUAUAGAGAACGAAAACUGGGUGGCAUGUGUUAUCAGAAGUUAUGUAUAAUCAUUUAGGGAAAUAUCAAAAUUUAAAAAUCCCAUGAGUUGGGAAUAGGGAAAUUCAAGUAGGUAGGAAGUACUGACAUACCAAGUAAUAAUAAAGAAUAGCACCCUGUAGCUACAAAAUCGCAAUCAUUUGUUCAAAGAUCUAAACUCAAUUCACCCUGAAAAAUAAUUACUCAUCUUAAUUAAGUCAGACUGCAUGAUAGUCGGAUGGGACAAAAGCAAUUGACUGUCAAGGAACAUACCCGUCUGCACCUGCCUGCACCCGGC